RNAcentral lists this transfer RNA (76 nucleotides) under Methylophaga thalassica. RNAcentral describes it as "tRNA-Lys". It matches the Rfam family "tRNA". From Rfam's summary of the family: Transfer RNA (tRNA) molecules are approximately 80 nucleotides in length. Their secondary structure includes four short double-helical elements and three loops (D, anti-codon, and T loops). Further hydrogen bonds mediate the characteristic L-shaped molecular structure. tRNAs have two regions of fundamental functional importance: the anti-codon, which is responsible for specific mRNA codon recognition, and the 3' end, to which the tRNAs corresponding amino acid is attached (by aminoacyl-tRNA synthetases). tRNAs cope with the degeneracy of the genetic code in two manners: having more than one tRNA (with a specific anti-codon) for a particular amino acid; and 'wobble' base-pairing, i.e. permitting non-standard base-pairing at the 3rd anti-codon position. The record is from RNAcentral. RNAcentral also lists the same sequence under 16 other names. Lineage: Bacteria; Pseudomonadati; Pseudomonadota; Gammaproteobacteria; Thiotrichales; Piscirickettsiaceae.
GGGCCGUUAGCUCAGUUGGUAGAGCACCGGACUUUUAAUCCGAUGGUCCCGCGUUCGAGUCGCGGACGGCCCACCA